UGAAAACCGUAUGAGGCAAAAAGGCCAAGUCUAGCUAAAAAGCUUAUUCAUAUAUUAAAAUAACAAGUUCAUUAAGCAAGAAUGUUGCUUCCACACAAACGCAGUUGAAAGCCGAAACAAUCCCCUUUACCCCAAAAGAAUUUGAUGAACUAAAUGAAAAUUUAAAUCUGCCGAUGUAAUUUCAGCUGAAUCCAAAAAAGGAAAAACACGCACAAAGAGUGCGGA
This 225-nucleotide unclassified non-coding RNA is filed under the name Hevea brasiliensis (rubber tree). The record is from RNAcentral. Lineage: Eukaryota; Viridiplantae; Streptophyta; Magnoliopsida; Malpighiales; Euphorbiaceae.